RNAcentral lists this ribosomal RNA (257 nucleotides) under uncultured prokaryote. RNAcentral describes it as "partial 16S ribosomal RNA". It matches the Rfam family "Bacterial small subunit ribosomal RNA", at positions 524 to 780 of the family's 1533-position model. The record is from RNAcentral.
UACGUAGGGUGCGAGCGUUGUCCGGAAUUAUUGGGCGUAAAGAGCUUGUAGGCGGUUUGUCGCGUCUGCUGUGAGAAUCUGGGGCUCAACCCCGGACUUGCAGUGGGUACGGGCAGACUAGAGUGUGGUAGGGGAGACUGGAAUUCCUGGUGUAGCGGUGAAAUGCGCAGAUAUCAGGAGGAACACCGAUGGCGAAGGCAGGUCUCUGGGCCACUACUGACGCUGAGAAGCGAAAGCAUGGGGAGCGAACAGGAUUA